UACGGGGGGGGUAAGCGUUGUUCGGAAUUACUGGGAGUAAAGGGGUUGUAGGUGGCUUGUUAAGUCAGACGUGAAAUCCCUCAGCUUAACUGGGGAACUGCGUCUGAUACUGGCGAGCUUGAGUGCAGGAGAGGAACGCGGAAUUCCAGGUGUAGCGGUGAAAUGCGUAGAUAUCUGGAGGAACACCGGUGGCGAAGGCGGCGUUCUGGACUGCAACUGACACUGAGAAACGAAAGCCAGGGUAGCAAACGGG
This 253-nucleotide ribosomal RNA is filed under the name uncultured bacterium. RNAcentral describes it as "partial 16S ribosomal RNA". It matches the Rfam family "Bacterial small subunit ribosomal RNA", at positions 524 to 776 of the family's 1533-position model. The record is from RNAcentral.